This 253-nucleotide ribosomal RNA is filed under the name uncultured bacterium. RNAcentral's name for it is "partial 16S ribosomal RNA". It matches the Rfam family "Bacterial small subunit ribosomal RNA", at positions 524 to 776 of the family's 1533-position model. The record is from RNAcentral.
UACGUAGGGUGCGAGCGUUACUCGGAAUUACUGGGCGUAAAGCGUGCGCAGGCGGUUUUGCAAGUCGGAUGUGAAAUCCCCGGGCUUAACCUGGGAAUGGCAUUUGGGACUGCAAGGCUGGAGUGCGGCAGAGGAGACUGGAAUUCCUGGUGUAGCAGUGAAAUGCGUAGAUAUCAGGAGGAACACCGAUGGCGAAGGCAGGUCUCUGGGCUGACACUGACGCUCAUGCACGAAAGCGUGGGGAGCAAACAGG